GUUUUGCUCAGUACACUCUUUAGAUUCUUACAAACAACAUCAAAAAAACUAAAAACCGAAAAACCGAUACCAAAAAAAACAUACUCGUCGACACAAAGAGGUCCUUAUUUUAAGCAAACAGUGUAACUUUUUAUAAUUUUGUAAAAAAGUUGAUAAAAUUAAAAAAAAAAAAAAGAAAAUUAUCAAUUUUCUAAAAAUAAAAACCCAAAAAAGGACAUAAAAAAUGCCAAUAAAUAACAGGAACUAAAAACUACAAAAAAAAAAACUAUUAAACGAAACUAAAUAAAAAAAAAAUAUUCUCCAAUUUGAUUUGGAGAAACUGUUGAUAUUGAUAUCGGCAUGGAUAUACCUGGCUUUACCUAAACAUAACUGGAUAUAACUCGGACUUGACAAAGAUAUAUAUAUAUAUAUAAAUGUAAAAAAAUAUAUAUAAUCUAUUAUAGACCUGGAUUCUAAUUAGGAUGACUGCGAGUUGGUUGCUUAUCUUCAGUGAUCCAUGAUCCAUGAUCUUAUUUAUACAGUGAUACAGAGCUUGUUCUUGCCUACGAACGCCUGGGGGGUCUUCUCUCAUAUCUUCAAUCCUGGGCUUCACGAUAUGGUACACUGUCAUCUGAUUCACUUGUUCACGCUCAGUGGCUUCUUUCGAAAAUUGCACUGGAAUAGUUUCGUACGACUAUCUGGGAGAAAUUUGUUGUUUAUCUGUUCGGAUGGUGGAGUUGUUGUAAAUUCUGGUUAUCAAUACAGUAAUUCUCUUUGGCAAUAAAUAUACAAAACAAA
Drosophila montana is the source of this 777-nucleotide long non-coding RNA. RefSeq lists it as uncharacterized. NCBI's taxonomy places the organism in Eukaryota, Metazoa, Arthropoda, Insecta, Diptera, Drosophilidae. The record is from RefSeq and is a predicted model, not a curated record. The transcript has 2 exons.